UGCCGGUUUCCUCCCUACUUUGUGCUUGCUCCUCCAUCUCUUUCUUCUUCAGCCACCCCUAUCUUUCUCAGUACUCUUGAGGAUGUUUUUCUGCUCAAAUUCAUUCCUCAAAGGUACGUCCACUGUGCAAGGAGGAAUAUUCAAAAAGGCCGUGGUACAGUUUGGUUUUCCAUUAUCUCUUGGUUUGAUUAGGGACGUCCGUACAAAACCCUCACAACUCCAGCAGCAGCAGCACUAUGGAAGUGGCUCAGAGUACGUGGUUGAUGCUAGCGAGGAAUUUCGAGGUGUCCACCGGUAAUGGGAGAGCUUUUAAUUAAGUUGACUCUCGAGUCUAUUAACAAAGAGUCUGUAUUGUUUCGGCGAGGGGUUUCUCUUUGUAUGCAGCAUGCGAUGCUUCCUGUUUUUGGCGAGAAUUGCUACGUAAAUGAAAAUAUAGUUCUAAGUUUGAAAAAUAUUUUAAGCAGAGUUUUUAUCUUAAAAAAAAGAUAUUGUUGUAUAAAUAGUGCAGAUUUGAGAUCAUGUAAAGCAUAUUCAAUAAGGACGUGUUAGAGAAUA
This is a long non-coding RNA of Asparagus officinalis (garden asparagus), 555 nucleotides long. RefSeq lists it as uncharacterized. The transcript is spliced from 3 exons. NCBI's taxonomy places the organism in Eukaryota, Viridiplantae, Streptophyta, Magnoliopsida, Asparagales, Asparagaceae. The record is from RefSeq and is a predicted model, not a curated record.